GCGUGCGGGCACUCCAUUACUAUGUCCGCGCGUACAUAAAGAUAGGAGGAAGAACAAACCGCCAGGCUUGCGGUGCGUCAGUGUGGAGACCUGACGUAAUGCCGCGCGUCCCAAAGCGGACGGCGGCGAGGCGCGCUCUUGCGGAGGCAGGCGUGCUAAAGCCGGAACAU
Molecule: non-coding RNA, 170 nt
Filed under: human gut metagenome
Description: malK-I RNA
Rfam family: malK-I RNA
Source: RNAcentral